Molecule: non-coding RNA, 761 nt
Filed under: Haedus sp.
Lineage: Eukaryota; Metazoa; Arthropoda; Insecta; Hemiptera; Tingidae
Source: RNAcentral
AAAAUAGUUGAUAUUGCUAUCAUUGUUAAGUUUUUUUAAAAUUAAACAUGUGAGUUUAAGUGUUAGAUUAACCUAAACUAAAAGUUUAGUUUAAAUUGUUUUUCAGUUUUAAGUAUUAUUUUUUUAAAAAUUUAAAUUAUAGUUUUUAAAAAUCAACAUUAACAAAUUUUAGUGCCAGCAGUUGCGGUUAUACUAAUAAUGUGACAUUUAACUUCAUUAGUUAGGUAUUAUAUAUUUUUAUAUUAUCUAUAAUUUGGUUUUUUAAGUGAAAUUUAAAAUUAAUUUAAGUUAACGGUAUAUUAUAUACUAAAUUGUUUUUCAAACUAGGAUUAGAUACCCUAUUAUUUUCAACUUAAAUAUUUUAACUAUAAGAGUAUCAAUUAUAUUUAGAAAAUAAAAUUAUUUGGCGGUAAUUGUUAAUUGUUCAGAGGAACCUGCCCUUUAAACGAUACACCACGAUUAAUUUUACCUUGUUUAUUGUUUAUAUACCUCUAUCAUUGAAUAUUUUUUAAGAAUAUUUUCUUUAAUUAUUUUAUACUAAAUGUUAGGUCAAGGUGUAGCUUAUCAAGGGAGAGGUGGGUUACAUUUAUUUUAUUAGUGGAUUAAACUAAAUUGAUUGUUUAUGAAACUGGAUUUGAUUGUAAUUUUUUUUAAAAAAUAAAAAUGAAAUUAUUAUGGUUAUGCACAUAUCGCCCGUCAUUCUCAUAAAUUGGGACAAGUCGUAACAAAGUAGGGGUAUUGGAAAAUGCUCCUGGGAAGAU